Long non-coding RNA from Nicotiana tabacum (common tobacco), 722 nucleotides. RefSeq lists it as uncharacterized. NCBI's taxonomy places the organism in Eukaryota, Viridiplantae, Streptophyta, Magnoliopsida, Solanales, Solanaceae. The record is from RefSeq and is a predicted model, not a curated record.
ACACUAUUUUCUUUUUCUCUCUCUAGUUUGAUACGCCAUUCAAUAAUGAAAGCAGUAAGUUUCCUCUUUAUCAAUUUGCCAUCUUCAACUGCUCCAAUCCGAAUGUCCAGCAAUUACACCGCAAUUGAUAAUCAGAAUGUUUCCGGAUCUGUUCCUGCAGUCGCAGAUCCACCUUGCCAAGUUGCCGUCAAAUUCACUAGUAAUGUCUUCAGAUUUUCAACAAAAUUAUACAGUAGUAUUUUUGUGGAUCAUUUUGAACGGCUCCGGCACCAUCGCCGGACCAAGGCGGCGCGUAAAGAUUUCUCAAGCAACUUAUCUUGAUCAAAUUGGGAUUGAUGUUUACCAAAGUGGACCUAUUAGUCUAUGAAAGCCUUAUAAGAAUCUGAAGUGAUAUGUUUCUGUAUAAUACUUCCUUCCUUGUAUCCUUGAAGAAACAACGUAAUUUGGGAACCCUGAUCUUCCUCUUCAACACUGUCUGAGCCAACGACCUAUUUGAGAACCCUUUUCACUACUGGCUUCCGGUGAACGGCAUAUUCACCGGAAAUUAGGGUCUGUUCUUGAACAAAGACAAUGGAGUUUGGGGCUGAGCAACUUGAUUUUCUGUUAAUAUAUUUCAAUGUAUUUUCAUGUAUUUCAUUGUAUUCAUUGUCUUUUUUUUCAUUGUAAUUCAUUGUAUCUCGUCGUAUUUCAUGUAUUUCAUUGUAUUUACUGUCUUUUUUUCA